This is a long non-coding RNA of Hyaena hyaena (striped hyena), 1342 nucleotides long. RefSeq lists it as uncharacterized. The record is from RefSeq and is a predicted model, not a curated record. NCBI's taxonomy places the organism in Eukaryota, Metazoa, Chordata, Mammalia, Carnivora, Hyaenidae. The transcript is spliced from 8 exons.
UACCGCUUUUUCUGGGGCCCGUCUCCAAUCGACUUCGUCCGGAGCCGCGGCUGCGGACACGCAGGCUGCACGUCGGGAGCACGUCCCUAAGCGGUACUGCUUGAAGCACUCAGACUCUGAGGAACAUAAUUGAAGGCUGGAGGGACCUUAAAAGUUAGUAAUCUUUACACCCAACAGUGGGGCUCAAUUUCAUAACCCCAAAAUCAAGAGUCACAUAUGCUCCUGACUGAGGCAGGUUCCGUGGGAUGGUCUUCUGCACAGUUUUUUAUGUGGGUCUCCAAUGAUAUAAUCCAGGCACAUUAAUAUAGAGAUAAAGCAAAUAUGGUAAAUGACAACAGCUGUGGAAUCUGAGUGUGCCCAGACCAAAGGCCUCUGGACAUUUGCCAUCAUCAUGCUCUCCAACAGAUGACGGGCCUAUAGUGGCAGUGACAGGUUUGCCUUCUUUUCUAUUCCUUGCUGGAAUCUGUGGACCCUGUAUCCACCCCAACUUCCUGGGACAAGCAACUCUGAAUCCUUCUUGCCAUAGCAGCAUUUAGGAAAGGCAAAACUCUAGGGACAGAAAGCAGAUGAGUGGUUGCCUGGGGCCAGGGACCGAAGUGGGGACUGACCUUGAACAGGAACCAGGAAGUUUUCCGACUGCUGGAAGAAUUCUAAGGCGGUGGUGAGGGUUGCACCACUGUAUGAACUUAGACACACUCAUCAAUCUGUGUGUUUCAAAUUAAUACAUCCUCUGGUUUAUAAAUUAUAUCUCCAAGAAAAAAGAGAAAAAGAAAAGAAAUGAUCAACCAGGGGGGCGCCUGAGGAGGUUUCUGGAGUCCAGAAGCUCCUGGAAUGUUAACAGAUCUCGUACUAUGGCAGCUUUAGCAAUAUUAUUUUUUCCACCUUGUGUGAACAUAGGAGCUCUCUAAAGAGUCAUAAUGGUGAAGAGGAUGGGGACAUCCAAGGACCACAGGGCCUCUCUCUCAACACUGGUGAGAACCAGUUUCCUCCCCCUGGUUCUGUAGCUCCUGGCAGAGUUCUGGAAGCUGAUUAAAGAGAAGAUCAGAAAUAAUAGAUCACUCGUGCUGGGAGAUACCCCAAGCCGCCAUGUUGUCAGGAGAGGCUCCCGGUGAGGAGGAACUCCUACUUCCUGCUAAAAACCACCUGAGUGAUUUUGGAAGUGGAUUCGCAGGCCCCAGCCAAGCCUUCAGCUGACUGCAGCUCCAGCUGACAUCUGGAUUGUAAGAUGGGCUAUCUACCUAAUCUGCUUCCAAAUUCUUGACCCGUAGACACUCUGAGAUAAGAAAUGUUUACGGUUUGGGGCACCUGGGUGGCUCAGUCGGUUGAGUGGUUGAGCGUCCAA